UAUUGUGAAAGAGCCUGGUGUGGAAA
Molecule: non-coding RNA, 26 nt
Filed under: Rattus norvegicus (Norway rat)
Lineage: Eukaryota; Metazoa; Chordata; Mammalia; Rodentia; Muridae
Source: RNAcentral